GGAAUUUUCCGCAAUGGGCGAAAGCCUGACGGAGUGACGCCGCGUGGGGGACGAAGGCCUUCGGGUCGUAAACCCCUGUCAGAGGGAAAGAAGGGUGUCGGCGCGAUAACCGCCGGCACUUGACGGUACCUUCAGAGGAAGCCCCGGCCAACUCUGUGCCAGCAGCCGCGGUAAUACGGGGGGGGCAAGCGUUGUUCGGAAUUACUGGGCGUAAAGGGCUCGUAGGCGGCCAACUAAGUCGGAUGUGAAAUCCCCAGGCUCAACCUGGGAACUGCAUCCGAUACUGGAUGGCUUGAAUUCGGGAGAGGGAUGCAGAAUUCCAGGUGUAGCGGUGAAAUGCGUAGAUAUCUGGAGGAAUACCGGUGGCGAAGGCGGCAUCCUGGACCGACAUUGACGCUGAGGAGCGAAAGCUAGGGGAGCAAAC
Molecule: ribosomal RNA, 424 nt
Filed under: uncultured bacterium
Lineage: Bacteria
Description: bacterial SSU rRNA
Rfam family: Bacterial small subunit ribosomal RNA
Source: RNAcentral